UGGCUUUGAAGUCAACUCCAAAAGAUGUUUCCAAAAUGUUUGGCAAGACCACACACUCUCCUCAGAAUUGUGCGCGGUCUCCCUGGGUGGCCAUUUUGAAGCGGAUACAACUCAUUUGAACGUCCGAUUUCAGGUGUACAAUAUAGUGAUUCAACAAUUCUAUACACUACUCAGUCCUCAUCAUGGGAAGUGAAAGGCCACUGGCCGGAAAGCCGAAGACCUGGUUCUGCCGCUGUCUGGGUCCCCUUGCGCAGGUAACAACCCCUCUGCCCCUCCGUGUCCUCCGCGUUCUCGUUCUCUGCCUUUCUCUGCCUAAGGCAUUGCUCUCACCACGGGGUUGGCGUCAGCUUUAAAGGGGAUCACCGAGGACACAGUCAGAAAUCAUCGCUGUGGAAUUGGGAGCAGCUGCUAAUGGACACUGCACCCCAUUUCUUUCUGUGGCAGAGAAACAUCCUCAAAUUAAAUGGUGGCGAUGGCCGACUAACCCUGUGAAAACAGUACAAAAACACCCAACUGUACACUUUAAAUGGCUGAAUUAUGUGGCA
Molecule: long non-coding RNA, 545 nt
Organism: Zalophus californianus (California sea lion)
Lineage: Eukaryota; Metazoa; Chordata; Mammalia; Carnivora; Otariidae
Exons: 3
Source: RefSeq, a predicted model, not a curated record